GUGGAUCAUCAAAUCUUUGAACGCAAAUUGCACUCUCUUCGGAGAGUAUGCCUGUUUGAGGGUCAACCUAAAAAAAAAAUCGACAUAUUCGCUGUUUCGCGUUGACAUUCGUCGGAAAUUGGGUCAUCUUAAACCUUUGGGUUUUAAGCGCCUUAAAAUUUUCUUUACGAUUCAACGAACGUUUCUACGAUUUACUUCUUAUACGUUUAAGUUAAUCUAUCUUUAUUAUACUGAGCCGUUGCAGCGUAUCG
Molecule: unclassified non-coding RNA, 251 nt
Filed under: Glomus sp.
Lineage: Eukaryota; Fungi; Glomeromycota; Glomeromycetes; Glomerales; Glomeraceae
Description: partial contains 5.8S ribosomal RNA and internal transcribed spacer 2
Rfam family: 5.8S ribosomal RNA (bases 1-65)
Source: RNAcentral